GAAAAAUUAGUUAAUUAAUAACAUUAUUUUGUCAAAAUAAAAUUAUUCCUAUGAAUAUUUUUCU
This 64-nucleotide transfer RNA is filed under the name Hebardina formosana. RNAcentral describes it as "tRNA-Asp". The record is from RNAcentral. Lineage: Eukaryota; Metazoa; Arthropoda; Insecta; Blattodea; Blattidae.